GUGCUCGCUUCAGCAGCACAUAUACUAAAAUUGGGAAUUAACAUGGGCCCCUGCGCAAGGAUGACAUGCAAAUUCUGAAGUGUUCCAUAAAGAU
Molecule: small nuclear RNA, 94 nt
Filed under: Myotis lucifugus (little brown bat)
Lineage: Eukaryota; Metazoa; Chordata; Mammalia; Chiroptera; Vespertilionidae
Source: RNAcentral